AGAGUUUGAUCCUGGCUCAGGACGAACGCUGGCGGCGUGCCUAAUACAUGCAAGUCGAGCGAGCUUGCCUAGAUGAUUUUAGUGCUUGCACUAAAUGAAACUAGAUACAAGCGAGCGGCGGACGGGUGAGUAACACGUGGGUAACCUGCCCAAGAGACUGGGAUAACACCUGGAAACGGAUGCUAAUACCGGAUAACAACACUAGACGCAUGUCUAGAGUUUGAAAGAUGGUUCUGCUAUCACUCUUGGAUGGACCUGCGGUGCAUUAGCUAGUUGGUAAGGUAACGGCUUACCAAGGCAAUGAUGCAUAGCCGAGUUGAGAGACUGAUCGGCCACAUUGGGACUGAGACACGGCCCAAACUCCUACGGGAGGCAGCAGUAGGGAAUCUUCCACAAUGGACGAAAGUCUGAUGGAGCAACGCCGCGUGAGUGAAGAAGGGUUUCGGCUCGUAAAGCUCUGUUGGUAGUGAAGAAAGAUAGAGGUAGUAACUGGCCUUUAUUUGACGGUGAUUACUUAGAAAGUCACGGCUAACUACGUGCCAGCAGCCGCGGUAAUACGUAGGUGGCAAGCGUUGUCCGGAUUUAUUGGGCGUAAAGCGAGUGCAGGCGGUUCAAUAAGUCUGAUGUGAAAGCCUUCGGCUCAACCGGAGAAUUGCAUCAGAAACUGUUGAACUUGAGUGCAGAAGAGGAGAGUGGAACUCCAUGUGUAGCGGUGGAAUGCGUAGGUAUAUGGAAGAACACCAGUGGCGAAGGCGGCUCUCUGGUCUGCAACUGACGCUGAGGCUCGAAAGCAUGGGUAGCGAACAGGAUUAGAUACCCUGGUAGUCCAUGCCGUAAACGAUGAGUGCUAAGUGUUGGGAGGUUUCCGCCUCUCAGUGCUGCAGCU
RNAcentral lists this ribosomal RNA (886 nucleotides) under uncultured bacterium. Its description in RNAcentral is "bacterial SSU rRNA". It matches the Rfam family "Bacterial small subunit ribosomal RNA", at positions 8 to 853 of the family's 1533-position model. The record is from RNAcentral.